This 706-nucleotide small RNA is filed under the name Pan troglodytes (chimpanzee). RNAcentral's name for it is "processed transcript". Lineage: Eukaryota; Metazoa; Chordata; Mammalia; Primates; Hominidae. The record is from RNAcentral.
AGGUCCCCCAGUGGUAGAGCUGGGGUUUGACCCUGGGCAGCCUGGCCUGAGUUCUUGGCUUGUCACCACUCAUCUUCCUCUGUCAGUGCCAUGAUGAGUCUAGCAAGCUGCCUCGUACCCAGCCAGACGGCACCAGUGUCCCUGGAGAACCAGCCUCACCUAUCUCCCAGCGCCUGCCCCCCAAGGUAGAAUCCCUGGAGAGUCUCUACUUCACUCCCAUCCCUGCUCGGAGUCAGGCCCCCCUGGAGAGCAGCCUGGACUCCCUGGGAGACGUCUUCCUGGACUCGGGUCGUAAGACCCGCUCCGCUCGUCGGCGCACCACGCAGAUCAUCAACAUCACCAUGACCAAGAAGCUAGAUGUGGAAGAGCCAGACAGCGCCAACUCAUCCUUCUACAGCACGCGGUCUGCUCCUGCUUCCCAGGCUAGCCUGCGAGCCACCUCCUCUACUCAGUCUCUAGCUCGCCUGGGUUCUCCCGAUUAUGGCAACUCAGCCCUGCUCAGCUUGCCUGGCUACCGCCCCACCACUCGCAGUUCUGCUCGUCGUUCCCAGGCCGGGGUGUCCAGUGGGGCCCCUCCAGGAAGGAACAGCUUCUACAUGGGCACUUGCCAGGAUGAGCCUGAGCAGCUGGAUGACUGGAACCGCAUUGCAGAGCUGCAGCAGCGCAAUCGAGUGUGCCCCCCACAUCUGAAGACCUGCUAUCCCCU